This is a non-coding RNA of Potamilus streckersoni, 73 nucleotides long. The record is from the annotation of a GenBank genome assembly. Lineage: Eukaryota; Metazoa; Mollusca; Bivalvia; Unionida; Unionidae.
GCUCCGGUAGCCUAGCGUUUAGAGCGUCCACCUCAGAAGUGGGAGGAUGCGGGUUCAAACCCCGGCCGAAUCA